RNAcentral lists this ribosomal RNA (494 nucleotides) under uncultured bacterium. RNAcentral describes it as "partial 16S ribosomal RNA". It matches the Rfam family "Bacterial small subunit ribosomal RNA", at positions 28 to 507 of the family's 1533-position model. The record is from RNAcentral.
GACGAACGCUGGCGGCGCGCUUAACACAUGCAAGUCGAACGGAAAGGCCUGCUUUCCCUUGUGGAUUGCGGGUACUCGAGUGGCGAACGGGUGAGUGACACGUGAGUGAUCUGCCCCCAACUUGGGUAUAAGCCUGGGAAACUGGGUCUAAUUCCCGAUAGGACUGCAGGGUGGGGCCUGUGGUGGAAAACGAUGUUCUAGUGGUUGGGGAUGAGCUCGCGGCCUAUCAGCUUGUUGGUGGGGUAAUGGCCGACCAAGGCGGCGACGGGUAGCCGGCCUGGGAGGGUGGACGGCCACAUUGGGACUGAGACACGGCCCAGACUCCUACGGCAGGCAGCAGUGGGGAAUAUUGCGCAAUGGGCGGAAGCCUGAUGCAGCGACGCCGAGUGGGGGAUGACGGCCUUCGGGUUGUAAACUCCUUUCGACCGCGAGGAAGCCACCUGGUUGGAAGGGUGGUGACGGUAGUGGUAGAAGAAGCACCGGCUAACUACGUG